This 1335-nucleotide long non-coding RNA is filed under the name Marmota monax (woodchuck). Lineage: Eukaryota; Metazoa; Chordata; Mammalia; Rodentia; Sciuridae. The record is from RNAcentral.
GGCAAGUGGCCGCAGUGACCGGCUUUCGGGGUGUAGGCCACGGGGCCACGGCAUCCUGAACAGCCUGUUCCGCGUUUGGAUUACAAAAAGGCGGCACCUGGCUCUCUGCUCUUGAGCCUGCCUUUAGGGCUGCUUCUGUGUUGAAGGGCAGAUGUCUGGCCGGCUCCUUGAUCAGAGGUGUAAUUACAAAUUUUGUUCUAACUCUGAAGAAAUGAAAACUUGCCAGCUAGGUUAAAGCUGUGAAUUCCCAGGUUCUGACUUGAUUUUUCUGUCCUUGCAUACUGAAUAGUAAUUCUUUGUCCCAGAGUGGUGUCGGUCACUCCCUUAACGUCCUUUCGUGACGUGCCUUCGGCUCUCUGAAGGCCUGUGUGGUGCAGAUAGAGUGAGAGGUGAGAAGGUGCUGGCUCCUGGCCACAAUCUGCAGGCCCUGAGCCAGGCGCAGCGUCCUGACCGGCUCUCAGGCAAUCUCCUGCUGCCCGCCUCGGAUGUGAGCCGGGGACCACAAGCAAAGGUAAGGUCAUUUUAGCCUGCCUUUUGUGUUAAAAAACAAACAAACAAAAAAAGAGGCAAAAGAAAAAGGAGACGUUUCAAAAAGCUUACUAAGUUCAUUACAUCUUUUACCAAGAGCAAAAUGUCCAGCAUGCUUUACAGGUAGGUAGGACACCCUUAAGGAACUACAUGUGGCCUGGGUCACUCAUGUGAUUUUUCCAUGGGACACUGGGGGAGGUGUUGCCUGCCUGAAUGCAUUGAUAGUGAUGGUGUAAUGACAAUCUGGGACACUUGCCUUCAUCUGCAGAAGAGGAGACUUUAGUGCACAGUGGUGUCAGUGACACAGCAGAGCCAGGCUGUCUUAGAGGUUGCCCUGAGGUCACACCUGGAGGCUGUCACUUCAGAGGUCCCCAGCACAGGGGUCACCGUGGUUCUACCACUGAUGGCAGUACUGUCAUUCAUUGCCACCAGAGCUGUCUGUGGGCUGCAGCUGCUCUGGGUCAGCCUGGUGUUGUGCUUUUAGGUGUAGCCCUCCUGGACGCAGCUCAACACCUUCAGGAAACCCAAGGUGGAUGUUCCCAUCUCCUUAGGGGCCUUGCUAAGGCGUGUUCCACAUCAGGAGCCAGUGCUCCAAAGCUUGUGCUGCUUCUAGAUCCAUCUUGGCCGCUGCUGGGCCCCUGCUGGUCCUCCUGCCCUUGGCCUCCAGACCUGUUUGCCUCUCAGGGGUCAGCUAUUCACGUGUUGCCAUGAAGGAGCUUGGGGUGGGCUCACUUCUCUUAGGGGGAACUCUUGCCCUGGGAAAAUGUGAACAAGAACUAAUGUGCUUUGCCCUAUCAAUUACCUCAC